RNAcentral lists this microRNA precursor (63 nucleotides) under Anopheles funestus (African malaria mosquito). Its description in RNAcentral is "microRNA mir-308". It matches the Rfam family "mir-308 microRNA precursor family". The record is from RNAcentral. Lineage: Eukaryota; Metazoa; Arthropoda; Insecta; Diptera; Culicidae.
UUCGCAGUAUAUUCUUGUGAACUUGCUGCUUUUAGAGUUCAAAUCACAGGAGUAUACUGUGAG